GCGUGCGUGGCUCAGUGGGUAAGAGGUUUGGCUGCUAAGCAGAAGGUCACAGGUUCGAGUUCUCGAGGUCG
Molecule: non-coding RNA, 71 nt
Organism: Caenorhabditis elegans
Lineage: Eukaryota; Metazoa; Nematoda; Chromadorea; Rhabditida; Rhabditidae
Source: the annotation of a RefSeq genome assembly